UUUGUUUUUCAUUAGAAAGUAAAAGUAAAUUUUAUUCUUAAUUGGUAUUCAUUCAAUAAAUAUUUAGUAAGAGGUUUAUCACAAGGUUAACAACUGCAUUUUAAAAAGUCAUGGUUUAUAAGAUGAGCCAUUUUUUAAAUGUACCAUUUAAAUGGAUACUUUUUAUAUGUAUUGUCUUAUCUCAAAGUUUGCAAGAGAUGAUUGAGACCUGACUUUAAGGACCCAAACCAGUGAGGAGCCUGAAUUUGAGUAUUCACCUUUUACUGUCUUUGUAGAGAGCUGGGUAAAGCCAUCAUCGACCUGUCCCUGAUUUUUUCCUGACUUCUUCAUUUUUUCUCCCUAGAUUACCAUAAAGAUCAGUUCCUUGCCUUCCAAGGUCUGGGAGUAUAGAUGCCCUUUAUUGAGAAUUGGCUUUAGUAAUCUAAUUGGAUCUAGACUAUAGAUUUCAUUUUUCCUUAAUCUAAUUUUAUGACCUCAUUUUGUAUUAGUGAAAAGUUUUUCUUUUUUCAAUAAAAACAUGGAAAGGUAAUUUAGUAGUUGCUUUUGAUGUCUGUAAAAGAGAGAUAAUGAAGAAUAAGAAAAAAAUAUAUAAAAUGUUUAGAGUGGUAACUGGCACAUAGUAAUCACUCCACAAAUGUUAGUAAAUUAUAUACAAUAUGUUUAAGCACAAUUAGGGAAGAAAAAUCUUAUAUUGAGUAGGAGUGGUUUCUGGAAUGAUACUUGCUCUGUAGCUUACUAUUUGAAAAGAAACUAGCAGAUACAGUGCUGAUUUAUUCCCUCUGCCCUUUGUGAAGUGAUACCAAUAGUCUUUCAUUAGCAAUGGGAGGUGCCGAAGACCUUUCUCAUCAGAGCCCUCUUACAGAGUAAUUUAUUCCCUUCAUUGGUUUUAUCUUUUGCUAAGUGGGUGUCAGGGGAGUCCUAAAUCACACUGGAAAUCCAAGACUUGGUAAAGUUGUCCCACCAGGGAGAUAAGGAGCUGGAGACAGUGGCAGCUCCAAGGAGAGCAGCUGGCUCCAAGGAGAGCAGCUGGCUCCUAGACCUCUUGGUGCUUUCCCCAUGCCUUCUCCUGGUGCCUGUGGUCUCCUCCAUAUUUCUGGCACCCCGGGCCUGCUCCUGAUAGAACCUCUGCAUCUUAUCUUCAAUUUACCACCAUUUUCCUCUUUUUUAAUUUAAAUAUGAGAAAUGUAAUCCACUUGCUCUCAUUAUGGGUUGCCGCUACUUACUCCUGAAUCUGGAUUCCUCUGUUUAAGGUUAUCUGUCAGGCGGGAUGCCACUUCCUAGCUGUCUCCCAUAUUGCUGGUUUAACAUCAGCAAUGUGCUGGAUAUAAACACACACACCUUUGAAAGCAUUUUUGAAAGCAUAGUCUGUUGCUAUUACCUACAGUAACAGAUAGUCGUUUGCAAUGCAGAACAAACAAUGAAAAGAAAUCAAUUUUUGUGUUAAUAAUAAUUUUAGGCUCCAGUGAAAUAUAAGUGAUAUUAGCUGGGCUCUUGUUGCAUUGGAUCUGAUUUGAGAUUAGGCCCAUUCAAACCAUUUGGUUUGGUAUUAGAUCCAGCUGCCCUGACACUGGCCUAUGUUGGAUCUGGCUGGGACCACCACCAGGUCUGGUAGCUUUCUCGUUCCCUUGAGAAAUUCUUCGCUUUUUACCUGCACUUUGGAUCCCAGCUUGCCCAUUUGUCUCAGGAUGGGUUUUUCUGCUUUCCAGGCCAUCCCCCCAACUGCCCCAUACCCUUGAAUUCAGACAAGGUCCCUCAAUCAGUGUGUAAGGCAGAUAUUUCCCUAACCUGCUUCUGAAGCUGGCCAUCAUGCUUCUCUAGUUCUCAGAUAGGUCAGUUGACAUCUUGCAACUCUCAGGCCCACAUCACCUUAAGGUUAGAAUCAUCUUCCUGCAUGCCUUUCUGCAUACAAUUAACUGUUUCCCAAAAGCAACAGCAUACAUCCAACUGUUUUGUUCAGGACUCUCAUUUUCUGUUCAUUUUCAUAGCACAGAUGAAUGUCCUGACCAGAACCCAAAUCACGAUCAAGCUCUUUCCCACCUGAGAAUAAGUGAGCCAAUCUAUGGAAAGUUGCUAGCAAAGUGCCUGAAUGAAAUACUGUUCCUUAAUAACAGUAAUUACUAUGGUUAUUGUUAUUAUGGCAUUUCUAAUUCAUCCAUCAGGCACCAUUCUUAUUUUCUUAUUUUCCUUUUCUUUCUCCAGGCAGAUGACUGAUUUUCCAAAUGUAUAAUGUUCAGAUCUUUAAAUAAACAACACAUUUUUCUCCAAGGGUCAUUCCCUCUCAGUAUUUGCUAACGUAUUCCACUCUUUAUAGCAAUGAGGAGUCGGGCUUAAGAAAUAUAACACAAGUGGGUAUUUAGUUGUUUGACAUUGAAGGCCUACUUUGUAAUCUUCUUAAAGACAUGGGACCAUCAUUUCCAGAGGUUUCAUUCAAUUCUUGAGCUAAUGUUUAGUAGCAGUGUGGUUAUGAGCAAUUUACAUAAUCUCUUUGAGCUUCAGUUUUUAUACCUGUAAAAUAAGGGUAGUAAUGUCUUAUUCUGUGCAUAUAACCAGGAAUAAAUGAGAUACCUUUGUGAAAAUUAUUAAAUAAGCAAAAUGUGAGAUGCCAUUGUGCUUUAGUGCACUCGUACUGCUAUGACAAAGUACCUUAGAUUGGGUAAUUUAAAAACCAUAGAAAUUUACUGCUCACAAUUCUGGAGGCUGGCAAGUCCAAGAUCAAGGUGCCAGCAGAUUUAGCACCUGGUGAGGGCCCUUUCCUCAUAGAUGGUGCGUUCUGUGGAUCUUCACAAGGUGGAAGGGGCAGACAGAUUCCUUUAAGCCUUUCAGGAGAGCAUGAAUCCCAUUCCUGAGGGUGGUGGUGUCUUGACUUAAUCACUACAAAGCCUUCACCUUUUAAUACUAUUGCAUUGGAGAUUAGGCUUCAACAUGAGAAUUUUGGGGAGACACAAAUAUUCAGAUCAUAGCACACUGUAAGGAACAACUAUUAUUCAGAAAUAUUUUAAGGGGAAAAUUCAGUGACUUUCAGCUUUAAAAUUGAGGGCAGAACUUCAAUUCACUACCAUUAUUUUGCAUUUUAUUAUUUUCUGUUUCUCUCCAUUUUUUGCCUACUACUUCAUUUAUAUGAAAAUAUUCUUGGAGUUUUAUUUUUAAAAUCGUGCUACUUUCAUUAUCGACUUUGCAGAUGCCAAAUAAUACAUAAUGAGUUGUCACUCAUGGGCUUUCUAGUAUUUUUAAAUUUAGAGUAUCAAGAUUGAUCAUUAUGUCUAAGUAAUGACAGUUUGAGCUAUCAAGAAAUAAUAUGUGUACAGCAAGAUGUUACCAUGUAAUAAACAUAUUUUUAAAUUUUACUAGUUGUCAGUCUGUUUUAUACAGUUAGGGUCUGUGAGAGAGUAAAAGAACUGAAAUGAUUCUCUUUGCCUUUAUUCUACCACAUGUGAGUACUUUUUUCUUCAUUCCCCUUUCCUGGAGAACUCAUGUAUUUCGAGGGCACUGAACUGAUUUGCUGCUGUCAACCCUGAGUAAAUCUUCUUCCAAGGCUUGGUUUCCUUAAUAGAGCCACCCUUACCAAGUUUUUUGUAUUCCCAAGCCCCAUGUUGCUCUGGGAGCAAUAGAAGUGUAGGUGCAGAUCUGGGACCACAUCCUGCUCCCUGUGAAAGAGAUAUAGGAGAGGGAAGGACAGGGAAAAGUAAGGAGAGAAGGGUAAGCAAGAUAGAAACAUAAAAUGUGAGCACUAUGGGCUCACUUAAAGUAGGGAUAAAUUAAGAUCUUCCAAGAAUGACUAAGCAUGCCUCAUUCUACUCAACUCCUGUAUCCAUAGAAAUACAAAGGACGAAAAGGAGAUCUUUCUAGGUUUGUGAACCCAAUUUCUUAAAAACCACACUUUGAAUUUAAAGUAGGCCAGGAUUUCUGUCUUUAGUGUUUUCCAACACUCUUCAAGAUGUUGAACAAAGGAAAUGUCAUUCCAUUAACGAUAUUAGUAGUAGCAAUAAUAAUAAUGCCUCACAUUAUUUUAGCACCUGUUAUGCAUUAGAUAUUGUUCUUUAUGGCAGCUCUAAUGCAUAUAUCAUUUCAGAUGAAAAACCUGAAAGUCCAAAAUAACUUGUCUAAGCAUAGUAAAUGUAGGAACCCAGUGUGCUUAAUAAUCAUAUGCUAAUUCAACCACAAGGGGAUGAGCUUCCUCAACCAUAAUUUAUUUCCCACACAUCACCAAGUCGAGGUCUUAUAUAUAAUAAUGUGAUGGUGAAGGGCUCUAGAGGCCAUUCUACAUCUAAGCAACAAAACACACAAAACAUGGCAGACAGUGGAGCGUCUUUAUUGGCUUUCCAAAUGGAGAUUUCUAGGCAACAUGUUUCAUGUGUUUAGGUGAAACGCUGGUAUCCUUUUGGGUUAAAUUUCUUGUCUAAAUAGCAGUGUAGAAUGCAUAGGAAGUGUUCGAUGACUAUUUGAACACAUGGCAUUGCAAUCCCAAAAGAGUCCUAAAACUUCACUAUGAAUAAGAUUUAUUUUCUUCUUAAUAGGAUUGUUUAAAAAAAGCAUUUUUCUGGAGGUUUUUUUUUCUUCUGUGUGUAUGUGUGUGAGGGUAUCUAUUUGCUUGAUUCAAGAAGAGACACCCUCGCAUGAACAGAUUUAGGAUUGAUGGUUUUGGACAAGUUGAUUCUCAAGGGGAACAUGGGUCAUGUAAAAAAAAUUCCUCACAACAUCUUUUUCUAUCGUCUAGAUAUUGGAUACUAUCACUCAAAAGCCUUUGGAGCUAUAUCUUUCCUCAUCAGGUUGUGGUAAUAUAAACCAUUUUCUACCUUAUUUAUACUUGAAGUUAGGCAAAAGUGAUUUAAAAGAGAAUAUGUAAGAUAAUAGCAAGGCUAAGCUGUUUAUUUUGUAGCUCAAGUGUAAAAGAGGUGCAAUGAAAGCAUUAUGUAGACAAGGCAUACAUUAUAUAUUAUUAUCAUGGUAUAACUGCAAAAUGUUCUGCUCUGGCUUUGGGAACGACUUCUCAGCAUUUGAUAUUUGGAGUUAAUUUGUGAAGGGAAAAAAAAAGCAACAUGAAAGGGUUACAGAGUUUGUAUCUCCUCCUGCACAGAAGUACACAGAGGGUCCAACAAAUCAAAAUGUAGACAUUUGCCAAUAUAAGUAAUGGAUGCUGUGCAAGUCCCAGCUUUCAUGAGGGUAUGCUGCCAGAUGGCUCCAGUCAGGCUUUGCUAAAACACAGGUGCCGAGUCUCUCUGAGCAGUUCCAUUUUCAUGCCUGUCUUUGGAGCCAGGUUCUUUGCUGGCGAGUGCCAGGCUCCAUUCCACUGUCCCCUUGAUGGUGAGGCUCUGUCUCAAUGGAGGCUGUAUAUGCAAAAAGAAAUUUCCAGCUUUAGUUCUCAGCAAUACACUGACAGGUUGAGGGAAGUAGAGGAGAGAGAAGCUGCUGGGGAACGUUAGUUAUCAGCAUGAGUUUUGGAGAAGCUGCUGACUUCCUGUACCCACGUUAGAGGCAAGCCAUGGUAUCAGUGAUAAAAUUUGGGUACCUGCAUACACAUUUAGAAGCUAAAGGAAUAUGAGUUCUCAUUCUAAAGAAAUUAGAAGCUAAAGGACAUGUCUUCUUUUGAAGAAGUUUCCUUUGUAUUAUCAGUUUCUGUCAGUUCUCACUGAUCUGGCAUUUCACUGGGUCCUUGCCUGGACCUAGAUAAAUGUUUGCCAGUUGUUUAGCCUAAUUCAUUUAAUUUAGCUAAGUCUGCAGGAAUAUUGGCUCUUUAAGCAGAUCACUUAGUUGUCAAAAGAAAUAGGAGGCAAAACUUGGUCAGUAUGAUAAUAUACAUUUCUAAAUGUCUCCCUCUUAACAGAAGCAAUUUGGGAACAAUCUCAACCCGUUCAUUUCUCUUUUUCAUUUUUCUUAGUGCAAUAAAAACUUGCAAAGAACUUCAAUUAUGGGAAACAAUUAAAAAUUCAGAUUGCAAAGAGAAGACAUCAGAUUUGCCUCAAACAGGUGCUGGCACAGAUGGCCUGCUCACAAGUCCUGGCUUUAUUUACAGCUUUUAAACACAGACAGAUAAAUUGACAAAAAUGUUUCUUGAUUUUAUAACGUGCUGAAUGCCCAAAUUUGGCUAUAAACUUAUAUUAGUUUGUAAAUGGUUUACUUUAAACCUUGACCUCCCAAGUCAUCAGUAUUCUUAAAAAGACCAUUUGUCUCCCCUGUUGUUUGCACACUCAUGUGAAUAGAUUAUCUCCUAUUUGCUAUUGGUUGGAUAUGCCUUGUUUACUGCCUUGAUCAUUUAAUGAUUGUCUUUAUUAAGUCAAAUUGCAUGUAGUCUGAUGGCUAGAUAUUUCCAACCUCAUUGUGGUUCCUUAAAGGAUAAUUAUGCUGUCUAUAUUUUACUAGCCUUGGAGCAUGGCAUUUAAUAGGAAUAGCAAAAUAAAUGGCAUGGAUCCCAAAUGAAACUAUCUUCAGGAAGGAGUUGAUGGCAUUGUUUCAUCCAGGUGAUAAAAUGUAUCUGGAGGAACAAUACUGUAUAUAUAGCCUGUAGUAUUAUUUAAUCUUUGCUGUGGUCUAAGAUUUGGCAUAGGUGCACCAAAGGUUAAAAUGUUCAAAUUAAAGUGAGUAUUAAAGGGCACCAGAAAAUGAGGACUAACAUACAUCCUUAAAUUGGCUUAUAUUAAGGUAUUAAUUUAUCCGUACCCCAGUCCCAUGUUUCUGAAGGGCUGAAAAACAGAAAAUUGAGAUUCAACUCUGUAUUCAUCAAGGAAAAUAUUUCGGAAGUGAAAGUAUGAAAUGUUGCUUUCUGCAUUUGUGCAUAAGAUCCAUAGAUGUAUCUGUUGAGUAGAUCAUAAGAAAGCUGCUUACUAAUAUGACACCCUGCGCCCUAUGCUUUACAAAGCUGUGUGUAUCUUCCCUCUGUGUGUGCUUAUGUGGUUCAUAAUUAUUAACAAUCUUGAUCUUACAUCCUGAGAUUACUGUUUAUUAUGUAAAUCUUUCUUCUUCUGGAUAUAAUUUAUGUUUUGUGUAUUAGAACUGCAGGGUGGAUCAUCCAUUGGUAUUUGGGGAACUGUAAUGAUUGAAUGUAAUUUUUUUAGACUUUUUCAUUCUUUGCUGGGAUUCAUUUCAUCUAAGGGUGCAGGACAUGGGAGGGGGUGUGUGUCUUUGUAAUAUGUCAUUGUUCUCCUUUAACUCGUUUGUGUGAUUUGCUUUAGUAUUUUCUCUUCUUAAUUAAUGCUUCCAUCCUCAUCCUUGCUGUGGCUGCUCAUGUGUCCUCCUCCUCCUCCUGUCUUCUGCUUCUGACACUAAAGCCCGCAGCCCGCUUGAGAACUCAGUGCCCUGCCUAGCAACCCGCACCUUGGAUGAUGACCCCCGAGUGCGGCGCACUCCCAGCGUGGGAUGGCUAAACAUCCAGACAUUGAAGUACUUUUGUGGAUAAAGUGUCAAAGAAAUUGACCAAAGUCUUCAGUUUGCGUAUGAUGUGGAAAUAUGGCAACUAUUUGGAAAUCAACUUGAGACCAAACCCUGGACCAAUCCUUCUGAGAAACACAUUUUAGUAAUGAGAGAGGAUUCUUCUCAUUGUCUCUUUAUGUGGUACAUUCUCUUCCUAAAUGAUCUGCUUUGAUGUAUAAUCACCUUCCCCAGGGCUUCUAAUACUUACUGUAUCCAUUCAAUAAAUGAAAUAGACACCUAUUGAAUAACUAAGGUGUGCAAAGUCAUGUUAAAUACUGCUGGUUCUACCUACCUAUUCAACCUCACUUUUGUCUCUUCUCAAUAUAAACUCUAAUCAGCUUGUCUCUUUUCUUUUGUCCUAUAUCAUGGAGAAUCCUACCUCCAUGUUUUUGUUGAUAAACUCUACCCUUCCAGGAAUGCUUUUUUUUCUUUCUUUUUUUUUUUUGAUACAGAGUCUUGCUCUGUUGCCCAGGCUGGAGUGCAGUGGCGUGAUCUGUCAUCUCAGCUCACUGCAACCUCUGCCUCCUGAGUUCAAGCGAUUCUCCCGCCUAGCCUCCCGAGGGGCUGGGAUUACAGGCACCCACCACCAUGCCCAGCUAAUUUUUGUAGUUUUAGUAGAGAUGGGUUUUUGCCAUGUUGGCCAGGCUGUUUUCAAACUCCUGACCUCAGGUGAUCCGCCGGUCUUGGCCUCCCAAAGCUCUGGGAUUACAGACGUGAACCACCACUCAUGGCCCAGGAAUGCCUUUUCUAGUGUACCUAUCCAAAACUAUUCAGUAGGACCUGAAUGAAGUUCCAUCUCCUUUGUAAAACAGUUUUUAUAAACACAGAAGAUAUUUUCAAGUCUUAAAAUUCCAUAACUGCUAUUUUCUGUGCCUUACAAUGGAAGAUUUACCAUGUAUUGUUUUAUAUCGUUCUCUGAUGUUUCAUUGUCUUUAUUUUUUUAUUUCAACUGUCUACAUAAAAAAAAAAGCCUUCUGUAGGGGCUGUAUCUCAUGUGUUUGUGUACCCUCUGGUGCAGGUACCUGAAACAAGGGUGUUGUACAAUACACAUUUGUUGACCCUUGAUACUCCAUCAUUUCAUUAAAAGCAACCAACAGCCCAGUUUUCACUAGGGCCCAUCUUGGUCACCAGAAACCGCUAACCAAAAGUGAAUAUUGUUUACUUGUAAAAACUAUUUCCCCAUAUUGCUGCAUGUCCUGGUCUGAUGAAUUUGAUUAUCAGUUUAUUCUAAUUGUUAACAUGGACUUAAAAAACUGCCAGAAUAUUAGCUAAAAACAAAUUUGUGACAAGGUUUUUUAAAGUUUAUCUUUAAAUAUUUUAGCAAGAUAUUUUCAGGCCUAGUGUAACUAGAAGUUACUAACUACCUUUAGAAAGCUUCAUUUAAAGUCGCUUUUAGGGAGUAAGCUCUCAUCAUUUUUACCUUGUGUGCUUCUUAUCUUCGUUGUCACCUGAGGCAGAUGUGAUCCUAGAACUCUUAUCCAUUUCAAAUGCUGCCAAGGUAUUGAAUUAGAAUUUGGAACAAAAUCAAAAAUGAUUUCUCUUACAGAUCUCACCGGCAGGCCUGAAACCAGCCUGGGCCAGGGAAAACAAAAGAGAAGCUACUUUUCAGGACGAGUUAAGACCCACCUAAAUGCUUUGCCAUUAUUAGAGCAUAAGAACAUACCCUAUCUUGCUAGAUCCAGAAUGGCUUUUCACUCUUGCGUGCUUAUCUGUGAAUUCAGUUUGACAUCUAGCAGCCAGCAUCAUCUGAGCCCUUAGAAAACACUUGUGUCCUUUUGCAUUUACUGGCAGUCAAAAUCAACUGCUUCAGACUCUCAGGUCUGAACUUCAAAGAAGAAAAGGAGGUUCAGAGUUUUUUCUAUCAUCUUAUGCACAUUCCUGGCAUCUGCCUUCACCUUGCCUUGUAUUAUAUCUGUCUAGUUUGUCCAUCUACUGGGCAGGGACCUGGUCCAGUUCAGUGUUUUGCUUUACAGUUACUUACCCAGUGUUUAAUGUUACUAUAAUCAUCCCAAGUAUUAGUAGCUGUAAUACUUUUUUCUUUGUUUUUUUAUUUCAUGAAACCACAGUGGUCUGACUAUAGAUUCUUGUUUCAUCCUACAAUUAGGCUACACAGUUAACAUUAUAAUUUAAAGAACUGAAUUGUAAGUGGAUAUUUUUUGCUUUUAAAAAUUUUUCUUUGAGCAUUUCUGGAAUUAAACAAAUCAAAAUCUUUUAACUUUUGGAGAGUUUACUGACUAAAUUAAAUUUACAUAAUUUUUCUCUGGCUCUCGGGUCUUCGUAAAAUUUUACUUCCUUAGGAAAGUGGUGAACCCAGAAAGUUCACUUUAACUAAAGUUCAAUUCAACAGCUGUUCACCAAGCUGCUUCUCUUCUAGUUAUAUGGUCCAAUCAGAGGGAAGGAGAUGAGGGAAACUCACGGAUAACAAUCAUUUGAGAGAAGCUAUAGGAAGUGUCACCAGGAGGGUCGGGGGAGACUGGUUUGUCUAUAAUGUGUACAACAGUAGCAUGUAUUAUACUCUCCGCAAAUACUAAUUAGAAAAAUGAAUGGUGGGGUAUAAACAGAGAAUUGGGAAAAGAAUUCCUGGGAGAGACAGACUUUUCAGUGGACCUUAAAGGAUGGGUUAUAUUUCCAUAAAUGGAGAUUGUAGUAAGAGCAGGGUGGGACAUUGAAAGAUCAUGCUAGGCUAGAGAAAA
Cercocebus atys (sooty mangabey) is the source of this 10097-nucleotide long non-coding RNA. RefSeq lists it as uncharacterized. The record is from RefSeq and is a predicted model, not a curated record. Lineage: Eukaryota; Metazoa; Chordata; Mammalia; Primates; Cercopithecidae. The transcript is spliced from 2 exons.